This 372-nucleotide ribosomal RNA is filed under the name uncultured bacterium. RNAcentral describes it as "bacterial SSU rRNA". It matches the Rfam family "Bacterial small subunit ribosomal RNA", at positions 29 to 418 of the family's 1533-position model. The record is from RNAcentral.
AAUGAACGCUGGCGGCAUGCCUAACACAUGCAAGUCGAACGAGAUACCGGCUUCGGUUGGUGUCUAGUGGCGCACGGGUGCGUAACGCGUGGGAAUCUACCCUUGGGUUCGGAAUAACAGUGAGAAAUUACUGCUAAUACCGGAUAAUGUCGCAAGACCAAAGAUUUAUUGCCCAGGGAUGAGCCCGCGUAAGAUUAGCUAGUUGGUGGGGUAAAGGCCUACCAAGGCGACGANCUUUAGCUGGUCUGAGAGGAUGAUCAGCCACACUGGGACUGAGACACGGCCCAGACUCCUACGGGAGGCGGCAGUGGGGAAUCUUGCGCAAUGCGCGAAAGCGUGACGCAGCAACGCCGCGUGAGGGAAGACGGCCUC